Long non-coding RNA from Microtus oregoni (creeping vole), 928 nucleotides. RefSeq lists it as uncharacterized. The transcript has 4 exons. The record is from RefSeq and is a predicted model, not a curated record. NCBI's taxonomy places the organism in Eukaryota, Metazoa, Chordata, Mammalia, Rodentia, Cricetidae.
CUAAAGCAGAUCCGGAGCUGGCAGACCCCAGACUGAUUCUCAACAGGUGGCUGGGUCGAUGUCCCAUUCCUUUCUCUGGAGGCCACCCUGGGAGGUCAGCUUGAGACUGCAGCUGAUGUCUGCAGCUGAUGAGUCCUGGUUGCUGCAGUCAUACAGGGAAUGCAUGCCCUUGUCCAGAGUCCUCUAUGGGUGGACAUCCUCACCCUCGCUGCCUGGCCUGUUUCCCUCACUGCAAGUUUUAGGAGUUUUGCAUUUUGAACACCCUCCCUCACAAGUGAUCUGUGGAGAAGCGCGAAGUUGAGGAGGAAGAAAGGGACCCGUGGGCCCAAGCAGAAUUCUGAAGGAAACGGAAAGCUAUGGAUUCCUUCAAAGUUAAUGGAGAUCAGAUUCAACAGGGGGAGACCUCCUGAGGAUCUUGGCUAUAGAAAAAACCAAGAAAGACUACAGGACGUGUGACAUAUAUGCAGAUCCCUCGACAUGGGAACAGCUCUAAGACUGAUGAGACAUGAUAAAUCUUGUUGACUACAGAGUCCUCACAACUUUUUGUUACAUGCCAGCCUUUCACAUAGCAUGGAUUGAGGCCCGGCUAUAGAGUCCAAACAAAUAUAAAGUUCACAGAUGCCAUUUACCUGCUCAAACAUAAAACAACAACAACGAAUCUUUCACUGACGUCUGCCUACUGCAUAUUCCAUUCUUGUGAACCAGAUACCAAUGGAGUCAAGUAGCCCAAGUGACCUAGUCUCUCAGAAUGUCUCUGUUGCAGUUUCCUCAAAAUUCAGCAUCCAGAACAAUUUCAAAACUGCUGAGAUAGUUCAGCCUCACAGAUUAUCUAGCCAAGACUUCAGAUAAGUUCUACACUUUCCCAUCACACAGAGACUAAACAUAAACUAGUACAACUAGCUCUCCCAGGACUUGAUCAUUAUCCCAA